ACUGAACGCUGGCGGCAUGCUUUACACAUGCAAGUCGAACGGUAACAGGCCGCAAGGUGCUGACGAGUGGCGAACGGGUGAGUAAUGCAUCGGAACGUGCCCAGUCGUGGGGGAUAACUACUCGAAAGAGUAGCUAAUCCCGCAUACGAUCUAUGGAUGAAAGCGGGGGACCGUAAGGCCUCGCGCGAUUGGAGCGGCCGAUGUCAGAUUAGGUAGUUGGUGGGGUAAAGGCUCACCAAGCCAACGAUCUGUAGCUGGUCUGAGAGGACGACCAGCCACACUGGGACUGAGACACGGCCCAGACUCCUACGGGAGGCAGCAGUGGGGAAUUUUGGACAAUGGGCGCAAGCCUGAUCCAGCAAUGCCGCGUGCAGGAAGAAGGCCUUCGGGUUGUAAACUGCUUUUGUACGGAACGAAACGGCUCUGGUUAAUACCCGGGGCUAAUGACGGUACCGUAAGAAUAAGCACCGGCUAACUACGUG
Molecule: ribosomal RNA, 482 nt
Filed under: uncultured bacterium
Lineage: Bacteria
Description: partial 16S ribosomal RNA
Rfam family: Bacterial small subunit ribosomal RNA
Source: RNAcentral